AUGAACCAAUUAUGUUUGUGAAAGUCGGGUUCCCAUUUUACGUCCACGAAAGCGUUUGGCAACUUUGACAUACUACUUUGUACCUCUCUGUUUGCGCCUAGAUGUGCUCAGCUGACACCACAAGGUUCAUUAUUCUUUGGGGAGCAGCUAGAGUAGGCCUGUGUGGACUUCACCACAGAGUGACAUGCUUCAGGAUCCAAGUAUUUACCGCGGAUUGUUUGUCAUCAUCGCAACAUGUCUUCGACCGGAUCAGCACAAUCAAAACGCCUGAUUUCUCUACUGGGAUCGAUAGCGUUUUCGGGCGGCGUGCUGAUGCGGAGAUGAGCACAAACAUGGUGAAAGCCUACUUGGAGCACGGCCACAAUGACCUGGACACUGCCUUCAUGUACACAGAUGGACAGGCAGAAACAUUCAUUGGGGGAAUUAAUCUCCCCCCAAAAUAGUAACUAAUCCAGUUGUAAUACUGUAGGCAUAACUAAAAAUUGUAAACAAAAGUGACAUGCCAAAACACAAUGCAGUUUUCCAAUACUGUAAGUCUCAGUAUACAAUCGAAGCAAAGUAUGCUGCAGCAGCUUUUAUGUCACCAGAUUGCAUUGGCAAAUAGGCAUGUAGGCCUAACAACAGAGAACAGGAGAAGAGAAGAGUUCAACAAAUGUGUUGAGCAUUGCCACCAAGGCCAACCCCUGUGAGUGAAAGACCCUGAAACCAGACAGUGUGUGUUCACAGCUGGACCUCCCUGAAGAGGCUGCAUACUCGGUCUGUGGACAUCUUCUACCUCCACGCUCCAGACCAUCAGAACCCCAUCCAGAACACACUGCAGGCCUGCAAUGAGCUCCACAAAGAGGGGAAAUACAAGGAGCUUGGCUUAUCAAACUAUGCUGCGUGGGAAUUCGCUGAAAUCAUUACCAUCUGCAAACAAUAACUCAACAACUGGAUACUACAAACCGUUUAUCAGGUGGAAACAGAGCUGCUACCAUGUCUGAGAUACUACAGCAUCAGAUUAUAUGCAUACAACCAUCUAGCAGGGGGCCUUCUCACAAGUAAGUACCAUUAUCAGGACAAAGAUGGUUCGCAGCCUUCAGGAUGCUUCUUUGGUAACAUCUGGGUAGAGAUAGGUGAGAUGACAACAGAAUAACAUUUUAUUAAUAACAUAGUAUAGUAACAGUAGUUACUCACAAUGAAAACAUUAUUUGUCCAGAUUACCUUUACACUAGAUAAUAUAAAACAUUACCUUUGGAUGAUUCAUGUGUUGUAUGUAAGGAAAGCCACUUCCACGCUACAGACCUUGUUCGGAAGGCACUGGAGACGGUGUAUGGCUCAGACAAACCCACUAUGACAUCUGCUGCUCUACACUGGAUGUACCACCACUCCCACCUCAAGGUAACAAGCCACAUGCAACAAGAACAGGGACAACCCACUAUCAGCUAGGUCACUUUGAUUUUAAAGCUACAAUAUGUAACUUUUUGGGCGACCAAACCAAAAGUUAUAGAUCUGUCAUUCCCAUUGAAAGCAAGUCUAAGAAGCAGAUCUGUUCUAUGUGCGCCAUUUCUAUGCUUCCCGUUCUUACGUUUAUUUUUUGUAGUCUAUUACUUGUAGUUUUGCACACCAGCAUCAAACAGCUAAAAAUACAAUAUGUUUGGUUAUGGAAAAUAUAUUUCACAGCAGUUUAGAUGGUACAAUGAUUCUCUACACAAUGACUGCUUUUUUUUGUCACAAACUGAAAUUAGGCUAUUACAAUUUUAUCAACCAGGAAAUGUCAGAACGAUUUCUACAUAUUCCACCUUUAAAUGAAAUAAAUCACUUUUUCACAAUAAGUUGAACAUGACAAUUGCCACUCAAUGUUAGCAGUACUAUUUACAAUUAUCAACAUAAUGUUUAGUUAGUGUGGUGUACGUAGUGCUAAUGGUUGGGUCCUCUUGUACCUCUAGAUGAGCGGGUGGUGGAGGCCUUCAAACAGGUCUGGGACCUGGAGGCUGACAAUGGCCCCAAUUACUUCCGCUAGAUGUCUCAACAACCCUCGUUCAUCUGAUUGACUAUAUCGACAUUUUCCACUAACCGUUGCAAAUUUUCCUCAUUUUCUUUAUAACAAUUGGCUAAUUAACUAACAUGUACAGUGAGAUCUAUUACAAAUAAAUCAGUUUGGUUAUCA
Coregonus clupeaformis (lake whitefish) is the source of this 2149-nucleotide long non-coding RNA. RefSeq lists it as uncharacterized. The transcript has 5 exons. Lineage: Eukaryota; Metazoa; Chordata; Actinopteri; Salmoniformes; Salmonidae. The record is from RefSeq and is a predicted model, not a curated record.